AGUGGAACUGCUGGAUCAUAUGGUAGUUCUACUUUUAGUUUUUUGAAGAAUCUCCAUAUUGUUUUCCAUAGUGGCUAUACUAAUUUACAUUCCUACCAACAGU
RNAcentral lists this microRNA precursor (103 nucleotides) under Marmota monax (woodchuck). The record is from RNAcentral. Lineage: Eukaryota; Metazoa; Chordata; Mammalia; Rodentia; Sciuridae.